GACGAACGCUGGCGGCGUGCUUAACACAUGCAAGUCGAGCGGUAAGGCCCUUUCGGGGGUACGACGAGCGGCGAACGGGUGAGUAACACGUGGGUGACCUCGCCCUCCAGCUCUGGGAGUAAGCCUGGGAAACCGGGGUACCGUAAUACCGGAUAUGACUCCAUGACGCAUGUUGUGGGGUGGAAAGCCUUGUGCGGCUGAGGAUGGGCCCGCGGCCUAUCAGCUUGUUGGUGGGGUGGAUGGCCUACCAAGGCGACGACGGGUAG
RNAcentral lists this ribosomal RNA (266 nucleotides) under uncultured bacterium. RNAcentral's name for it is "partial 16S ribosomal RNA". It matches the Rfam family "Bacterial small subunit ribosomal RNA", at positions 28 to 286 of the family's 1533-position model. The record is from RNAcentral.